RNAcentral lists this ribosomal RNA (542 nucleotides) under uncultured bacterium. Its description in RNAcentral is "bacterial SSU rRNA". It matches the Rfam family "Bacterial small subunit ribosomal RNA", at positions 777 to 1319 of the family's 1533-position model. The record is from RNAcentral.
AAUAGAUACCCGGGUAGUCCAUGCUGUAAACGAUGAGAACUAGAUGUUAGGGGGCAUGACCUCUUAGUAUCGAAGCUAACGCGAUAAGUUCUCCGCCUGGGGAGUACGGCCGCAAGGUUAAAACUCAAAGAAAUUGACGGGGGCCCGCACAAGCGGUGGAGCAUGUGGUUUAACUCGAUGCAACGCGAAGAACCUUACCUACCUUUGAAUCCACGGAACCUAGCAGAGAUGUUGGGGUGCCUUCGGGAACCGUGAGACAGGUGCUGCAUGGCUGUCGUCAGCUCGUGUCGUGAGAUGUUGGGUUAAGCCCCGUAACGAGCGCAACCCUUGUCCUUAGUUGCCAUCAGGUUAUGCUGGGCACUUUAAGGAGACUGCCGGUGAUAAACCGGAGGAAGGUGGGGAUGACGUCAAGUCCUCAUGGCCCUUACAGGUAGGGCUACACACGUGCUACAAUGGGCAGUACAGAGGGAAGCCAACCCGCGAGGGGGAGCGAAUCUCAUAAAGCUGUUCGUAGUCCGGAUUGGAGUCUGCAACUCGACUCC